UACGAAGGGGGCUAGCGUUGCUCGGAAUCACUGGGCGUAAAGCGCACGUAGGCGGCUUUCUAAGUCAGGGGUGAAAUCCUGGAGCUCAACUCCAGAACUGCCUUUGAUACUGGAGAGCUUGAGUCCGGAAGAGGUGAGUGGAACUCCGAGUGUAGAGGUGAAAUGCGUAGAUACUGGGAGGAACACCAGUGGCGAAGGCGGCUACCUGGACCGGUUCUGACGCUGAGGCGCGAAAGCGUGGGUAGCAAACAGG
This 253-nucleotide ribosomal RNA is filed under the name uncultured bacterium. RNAcentral describes it as "partial 16S ribosomal RNA". It matches the Rfam family "Bacterial small subunit ribosomal RNA", at positions 524 to 776 of the family's 1533-position model. The record is from RNAcentral.